UGGUAAAGACAGUUAGGCGAGAGUUAAGAAGCCACUAGACCGCUAGUAGAGGAGUAAAAUCUACAUACAGGCAGUUAGACCGAAAGUGGUUGACUUAAAGUGCUGAGGCUGUGAAAGCUUUUAGGGAAACUGGGAUUGGAUACCCCACUAUUUCUAGCUAUAAAUUUACUGUUAAUAUACCAGAGUACUACGAAUAAAAAGUUUAAAACUCAAAGGGCUUGGCGGUGUUUUAGACCUCUCAGGGGAACCUGUCUCAUAAUCGACAAUCCACGUUAAACCUAACCUUUUAUAGUAGUUCAGCCUGUAUACCGUCGUCGUCAGGUAACUUCUUAAAAUAUAGUAGUUAGCUAGAAAAUUUUAUUAAUUAAAACGUCAGAUCAAGGUGCAGCUAAUGAAAAGGGGAGGAUGGGUUACAAUUAUAAAUUCAUAACUACGGAGAGAGCUUGAAAUAAAGCGAUUUAAAGGAGGACUUGAAAGUAAUUUUGAUUAUAUAAAGAAAAUGAAUGUGGCUCUGAAACGUG
Molecule: ribosomal RNA, 521 nt
Filed under: Conus namocanus
Lineage: Eukaryota; Metazoa; Mollusca; Gastropoda; Neogastropoda; Conidae
Description: partial 12S ribosomal RNA
Rfam family: Bacterial small subunit ribosomal RNA
Source: RNAcentral